CCUACGGGCGGCUGCAGUGGGGAAUAUUGCACAAUGGGCGCAAGCCUGAUGCAGCCGUGCCGCGUGUGUGAAGAAGGCCUUCGGGUUGUAAAGCACUUUCAGCGGGGAGGAAGGCGGUGAGGUUAAUAACCUUAUCGAUUGACGUUACCCGCAGAAGAAGCACCGGCUAACUCCGUGCCAGCAGCCGCGGUAAUACGGAGGGUGCAAGCGUUAAUCGGAAUUACUGGGCGUAAAGCGCACGCAGGCGGUCUGUCAAGUCGGAUGUGAAAUCCCCGGGCUCAACCUGGGAACUGCAUUCGAAACUGGCAGGCUAGAGUCUUGUAGAGGGGGGUAGAAUUCCAGGUGUAGCGGUGAAAUGCGUAGAGAUCUGGAGGAAUACCGGUGGCGAAGGCGGCCCCCUGGACAAAGACUGACGCUCAGGUGCGAAAGCGUGGGGAGCAAACAGGAUUAGAUACCCGAGUAGUC
RNAcentral lists this ribosomal RNA (465 nucleotides) under uncultured Klebsiella sp. RNAcentral's name for it is "bacterial SSU rRNA". It matches the Rfam family "Bacterial small subunit ribosomal RNA", at positions 338 to 795 of the family's 1533-position model. Lineage: Bacteria; Pseudomonadati; Pseudomonadota; Gammaproteobacteria; Enterobacterales; Enterobacteriaceae. The record is from RNAcentral.